UACGUAGGUGGCUUGGUAAGUCGGAUGUGAAAGCCCUGGGCUUAACCUGGGAACUGCAUCCGAAACUGCCUGGCUGGAGUAAGGGAGAGGGAAGUGGAAUUUCCGGUGUAGCGGUGAAAUGCGUAGAUACCGGAAGGAACACCAGUGGCGAAGGCGACUUCCUGGCCCAUUACUGACACUGAGGUACGAAAGCGUGGGGAGCAAACA
This 207-nucleotide ribosomal RNA is filed under the name uncultured bacterium. RNAcentral's name for it is "partial 16S ribosomal RNA". It matches the Rfam family "Bacterial small subunit ribosomal RNA", at positions 568 to 774 of the family's 1533-position model. The record is from RNAcentral.